GGGAUAUGUUGCAUAUUAUUUGUGUUAAACGGGUAAAGCAGACAUGAUGGGGGCUUGUGUUACCCCACUGGGUUUUGCCCCAGCACUACACAGCUGAUUGAUAUAACUCAUCAAACUUUGAUUAUUCGAAUCAGCUGUGUAGUGCUGGGGCAAAAACCAAAACUUGCAACCAGGAGGGGCCCAAGGACCGAGUCUAAGAAACCCUGCUCUAUGGUAACAUGUUAACACCCCUGGAUAGAUACAAAACAUACUAGAUCUUGGGGGGAGUUUCACAAAAAUAUAAAGAUCAUCCUCAGCAUAAAGAUCAUCCUCAGCAUAAAGAUCAUCCUCAGCAUAAAGAUCAUCCUCCACAUAAAGAUCAUCCUCAGCAUAAAGAUCAUCCACAGCAUAAAGAUCAUCCUCAGCAUAAAGAUCAUCCUCAGAGUUAAAGAUCAUCCUCAGAGUUAAAGAUCAUCCUCAGAGUUAAAGAUCGUCCUCAGCAUAAAGAUCAUCCUCAGCAUAAAGAUCAUCCUCAGCAUAAAGAUCAUCCUCAGCAUAAAGAUCAUCCUCAGCAUAAAGAUCAUCCUCCACAUAAAGAUCAUCCCCAUAUUAAAGAUCAUCCUCAGCAUAAAGAUCAUCCUCAGCAUAAAGAUCAUCCUCAGCAUAAAGAUCAUCCUCAGCAUAAAGAUCAUCCUCAGAGUUAAAGAUCGUCCUCAGCAUAAAGAUCAUCCUCAGAGUUAAAGAUCGUCCUCAGCAUAAAGAUCAUCUUCAUCAUAAAGAUCAUCCUCAGAGUUAAAGAUCGUCCUCAGCAUAAAGAUCAUCUUCAUCAUAAAGAUCAUCCUCAGACAUAAAGAUCAUCCUCACUAUAAAGAUCAUCCUCAGAGUUAAAGAUCGUCCUCAGCAUAAAGAUCAUCCUCGGCACAAAAAUCAUCCUCAUCAUAAAGAUCAUCCUCAGAGUUAAAGAUCAUCCUCAGAGUUAAAGAUCAUCCCCAUAUUAAAGAUCAUCCUCAGCAUAAAGGUCAUCCUCAGCAUAAAGAUCAUCCUCAGAGUUAAAGAUCAUCCUCAGAGUUAAAGAUCAUCCCCAUAUUAAAGAUCAUCCUCAGCAUAAAGAUCAUCCUCACUAUAAAGAUCAUCCUCAGAUUUAAAGAUCAUCAUCAGUCCAUACAUAGCAGGGGUAUCAAACUACUGUGAUUCUACCAACUGAGCUACAAAUCUGUUAUGAUCUUGGUGCUAAACAUGAUCUUUACUACUGCAGUGUCAGAUGAAGAGCAUUCCUAGCAUUUUCAUAUAUUGCUUAAGACGAUGUGUCAAUGAUACGGUCUCCUAUCUAAUGAAAUGUUUCAAGUGUGUAUUCUGUCCUGUUC
This is a long non-coding RNA of Oncorhynchus tshawytscha (Chinook salmon), 1343 nucleotides long. Lineage: Eukaryota; Metazoa; Chordata; Actinopteri; Salmoniformes; Salmonidae. The record is from Ensembl.